AGAGCGAACGCUGGCGGCAGGCCUAACACAUGCAAGUCGAGCGCCCCGCAAGGGGAGCGGCAGACGGGAGAGUAACACGUGGGAACGUACCCUUCAGUUCGGAACAACCCAGGGAAACUUGGGCUAAUACUGGAUACGUCCGUAAGGAGAAAGAUUUAUCGCUGAAGGAUCGGCCCGCGUCUGAUUAGCUAGUUGGUGGGGUAAUGGCCCACCAAGGCGACGAUCAGUAGCUGGUCUGAGAGGAUGAUCAGCCUCAUUGGGACUGAGACACGGCCCAAACUCCUACGGGAGGCAGCAGUGGGGAAUAUUGGACAAUGGGCGCAAGCCUGAUCCAGCCAUGCCGCGUGGAUGAUGAAGGCCUUAGGGUUGUAAAGUCCUUUCGGCGGGGAAGAUAAUGACGGUACCCGCAGAAGAAGCCCGGCUAACUUCGUGCCAGCAGCCGC
RNAcentral lists this ribosomal RNA (443 nucleotides) under uncultured bacterium. RNAcentral describes it as "SSU rRNA". It matches the Rfam family "Bacterial small subunit ribosomal RNA", at positions 26 to 518 of the family's 1533-position model. The record is from RNAcentral.